GACGAACGCUGGCGGCGUGCUUAACACAUGCAAGUCGAACGAAGAGCGAUGGAAGCUUGCUUCUAUCAAUCUUAGUGGCGAACGGGUGAGUAACGCGUAAUCAACCUGCCCUUCAGAGGGGGACAACAGUCGGAAACGACUGCUAAUACCGCAUACGAUCUGACCUCGGCAUCGAGGAUAGAUGAAAGGUGGCCUCUAUUUAUAAGCUAUCACUGAAGGAGGGGAUUGCGUCUGAUUAGCUAGUUGGAGGGGUAACGGCCAACCAAGGCGAGGAACAGUAGCCGGUCGGAGAGGAUGAACAGCCACAUUGGGACGGAGACACGGCCCAGACUCCUACGGGAGGCAGCAGUGGGGAAUCUUCCGCAAUGGACGCAGGUCUGACGGAGCAACGCCGCGUGAGUGAUGACGGCCGUCGGGUUGUAAAGCUCUGUUAGUCGGGAGGAAAGGCCUUCUUGCGAAUAGUUAGAAGGAUUGACGGUACCGGAAUAGAAAGCCACGGCUAACUACGUG
RNAcentral lists this ribosomal RNA (510 nucleotides) under uncultured bacterium. Its description in RNAcentral is "partial 16S ribosomal RNA". It matches the Rfam family "Bacterial small subunit ribosomal RNA", at positions 28 to 507 of the family's 1533-position model. The record is from RNAcentral.